GACGAAGGGGGCUAGCGUUGUUCGGAAUUACUGGGCGUAAAGCGCGUGUAGGCGGUUGCCCAAGUCGGGUGUGAAAGCCUUGAGCUCAACUCAAGAAAUGCACUCGGUACUGGGUGACUAGAGGACCGGAGAGGAUAGUGGAAUUCCCAGUGUAGUGGUGAAAUACGUAGAGAUUGGGAAGAACACCAGUGGCGAAGGCGGCUAUCUGGACAAUUGCUGACGCUCAGGCACGAAAGCGUGGGGAGCAAAAGGG
RNAcentral lists this ribosomal RNA (253 nucleotides) under uncultured bacterium. RNAcentral's name for it is "partial 16S ribosomal RNA". It matches the Rfam family "Bacterial small subunit ribosomal RNA", at positions 524 to 776 of the family's 1533-position model. The record is from RNAcentral.